RNAcentral lists this ribosomal RNA (556 nucleotides) under Bifidobacterium dentium. RNAcentral's name for it is "bacterial SSU rRNA". It matches the Rfam family "Bacterial small subunit ribosomal RNA", at positions 146 to 711 of the family's 1533-position model. The record is from RNAcentral. Lineage: Bacteria; Bacillati; Actinomycetota; Actinomycetes; Bifidobacteriales; Bifidobacteriaceae.
UCUCCUGGAAAACGGGUGGUAAUGCCGGAUGCUCCGGUUGGAUGCAUGUCCUUCCGGGAAAGAUUCCAUCGGUAUGGGAUGGGGUCGCGUCCUAUCAGCUUGAUGGCGGGGUAACGGCCCACCAUGGCUUCGACGGGUAGCCGGCCUGAGAGGGCGACCGGCCACAUUGGGACUGAGAUACGGCCCAGACUCCUACGGGAGGCAGCAGUGGGGAAUAUUGCACAAUGGGCGCAAGCCUGAUGCAGCGACGCCGCGUGCGGGAUGGAGGCCUUCGGGUUGUAAACCGCUUUUGAUCGGGAGCAAGCCCUUCGGGGUGAGUGUACCCUUCGAAUAAGCACCGGCUAACUACGUGCCAGCAGCCGCGGUAAUACGUAGGGUGCAAGCGUUAUCCGGAAUUAUUGGGCGUAAAGGGCUCGUAGGCGGUUCGUCGCGUCCGGUGUGAAAGCCCAUCGCUUAACGGUGGGUCUGCGCCGGGUACGGGCGGGCUGGAGUGCGGUAGGGGAGACUGGAAUUCCCGGUGUAACGGUGGAAUGUGUAGAUAUCGGGAAGAACACCA